GAUGAACGCUGGCGGCGUGCCUAAUACAUGCAAGUCGAGCGAAGCGGGGACGGUUGAGUAACACGUGGAUAACCUCCUAUAAGACUGGUAUAACUUCGUGCAACCCGUUCUAACCCGUAUUCUUAUCUCUGGCUCCUCUCUGCAUUAGCUAGUUGGUACGGUAACGGCUUACCACGGAAACUAUGCAUAGCAGACCUGAGAGGGGGAGCGGCCACCCUGGAACUGUGACACGUGCCAGCCUCCUACGGGAGGCAGCAGUAGGGAAUCUUCCGCAAUGGUCGACAGCCUGACGGAGCAACGCCGCGUGAGUGAUUAAGGUCUUUGGAUCGUAAAACUCUGUUAUUAGGGAAGCGGAACAUAAAGAGAAAGCAACGGCUAACUACGUGCCAGCAGCCGCGGUAAGUG
This 405-nucleotide ribosomal RNA is filed under the name uncultured bacterium. RNAcentral describes it as "partial 16S ribosomal RNA". It matches the Rfam family "Bacterial small subunit ribosomal RNA", at positions 28 to 527 of the family's 1533-position model. The record is from RNAcentral.